RNAcentral lists this ribosomal RNA (253 nucleotides) under uncultured bacterium. RNAcentral describes it as "partial 16S ribosomal RNA". It matches the Rfam family "Bacterial small subunit ribosomal RNA", at positions 524 to 776 of the family's 1533-position model. The record is from RNAcentral.
UACGGAGGGUGCAAGCGUUAUCCGGAUUUACUGGGUUUAAAGGGUGUGCAGGCGGGCUUUUAAGUCAGUGGUGAAAUCUCCGGGCUCAACCCGGAAACUGCCAUUGAUACUAUUAGUCUUGAAUUUUGUUGAGGUAGGCGGAAUAAGUCAUGUAGCGGUGAAAUGCUUAGAUAUGACUUAGAACACCAAUUGCGAAGGCAGCUUGCUAAACAAACAUUGACGCUGAGGCACGAAAGCGUGGGGAGCAAACAGG